AAUGAACGCUGGCGGCAUGCCUAACACAUGCAAGUCGAACGAAAACACCGGGAGCUGUCGCUCCUGCGGGUGUCGCGCGUCGGACGCGUAACUCAUGUAUCGCAUACCUCUCUGACUGGGGUGAUAACGCCGGACAACUUCUACUAACCACGCAUAUAUCGAACUUGUUUGGGCAGGCGUUGGAUUAGCUUUUUGGGAGGGUAAUAGCCCACUACGGCGACGAUCCAUAGCUGGGUUGAGAGGAUGAUCAGCCACACUGCGACUGAGACACGGCCCAGACUCCUACGGGAGGCAGCAGUGGGGAAUAUUGGAAAAUGGGCGAAAGCCUGAUCCAGCAAUGCCGCGUGAGUGAUGAAGGCCUUAGGGUUGUAAAGCUCUUUUACCCGGGAUGAUAAUGACAGUACCGGGAGAAUAAGCUCCGGCUAACUCCGUG
RNAcentral lists this ribosomal RNA (433 nucleotides) under uncultured bacterium. RNAcentral's name for it is "partial 16S ribosomal RNA". It matches the Rfam family "Bacterial small subunit ribosomal RNA", at positions 29 to 507 of the family's 1533-position model. The record is from RNAcentral.